CAGCAGCCGCGGGAAUACGUAGGGUGCGAGCGUUAAUCGGAAUUACUGGGCGUAAAGCGUGCGCAGGCGGUUCGGAAAGAGAGAUGUGAAAUCCCAGGGCUUAACCUUGGAACUGCAUUUUUAACUACCGGACUAGAGUGUGUCAGAGGGAGGUGGAAUUCCGCGUGUAGCAGUGAAAUGCGUAGAGAUGCGGAGGAACACCGAUGGCGAAGGCAGCCUCCUGGGAUAACACUGACGCUCAUGCACGAAAGCGUGGGGAGCAAACAGGAUUAGAUACCCGCGUAGUCCCUGUCUCUUAUAC
Molecule: ribosomal RNA, 301 nt
Filed under: uncultured bacterium
Lineage: Bacteria
Description: partial 16S ribosomal RNA
Rfam family: Bacterial small subunit ribosomal RNA
Source: RNAcentral